Molecule: ribosomal RNA, 510 nt
Filed under: uncultured bacterium
Lineage: Bacteria
Description: bacterial SSU rRNA
Rfam family: Bacterial small subunit ribosomal RNA
Source: RNAcentral
UAGUCCACGCUGUAAACGAUGAGCACUAGUUAUCGCGGGUCUAACCCCCGCGGUUACGCAGCUAACGCAUUAAGUGCUCCGCCUGGGGAGUACGGUCGCAAGACUAAAACUCAAAGGAAUUGACGGGGGCCCGCACAAGCGGUGGAUUAUGUGGUUUAAUUCGAAGCUACGCGAAGAACCUUACCUGGACUUGAAAUCCUGUGAAUUAAGUAGAGAUACUAUAGUGCCCUUCGGGGAACACAGUGACAGGUGCUGCAUGGCUGUCGUCAGCUCGUGUUGUGAAAUGUUGGGUUAAGUCUCGCAACGAGCGCAACCCCUAUGGUUAGUUGCCAGCAUUUAGUUGGGCACUCUAGCCAGACUGCCCGGGUUAACCGGGAGGAAGGUGGGGAUGACGUCAAGUCCUCAUGGCCCUUAUGUCCAGGGCUACACACGUAAUACAAUGGCGCGCACAAAGGGAUGCUAAGCCGCGAGGUGGAGCAAAUCCGUAAAAGCGCGUCUCAGUCCGGAUUG